This 506-nucleotide ribosomal RNA is filed under the name uncultured bacterium. RNAcentral describes it as "partial 16S ribosomal RNA". It matches the Rfam family "Bacterial small subunit ribosomal RNA", at positions 28 to 523 of the family's 1533-position model. The record is from RNAcentral.
GAUGAACGCUAGCGGCAGGCCUAACACAUGCAAGUCGAGGGGCAGCACAUAAAGUGGUUUACUACUUUUGGUGGCGACCGGCGGACGGGUGCGUAACGCGUAUGCAACCUGCCUCCAACAGGGGGAUAACGGAGAGAAAUUUCCACUAAUACCCCAUAAUAUCAGAAUCGGCAUCGGUUUUGGUUGUAAACUCCGGUGGUUGGAGAUGGGCAUGCGUUGUAUUAGAUAGUUGGUGAGGUAACGGCUCACCAAGUCAACGAUACAUAGGGGGACGGAGAGAUUAGCCCCCCACACUGGUACUGAGACACGGACCAGACUCCUACGGGAGGCAGCAGUGAGGAAUAUUGGUCAAUGGGGGCAACCCUGAACCAGCCAUGCCGCGUGCAGGAAGACGGCUCUAUGAGUUGUAAACUGCUUUUACAAGGGGAUAAAUCGGUGUACGUGUACACCGUUGAAGGUACCUUGGGAAUAAGGAUCGGCUAACUCCGUGCCAGCCGCCGCAGUAA